CAGGCCAUGGGAAGACAUUACCUGUUGAUAACACAGACUAUUCUCAUGAUCAUGGGAGGUGUGAGAGAAUUGCUGCUCUUUGUGAUGACUGUGGGGGUUGUCAAAGUUUCUUGUUACCCUGUUGGAAAGUCCCAGAAGCAAGAUCAAGUCUCUCUGCAGAGGAGACUUGGAGAGCUGUCAUCAAAUGACGUCUCCAUUGAGCAUGCCCUGGCCUUGCUCCGAUCCAUAGGGUCUGACGCUAAACAAGACAGAGAAGAGUAUUUAGAGACUAACGAAGUAGAAUCCCAAGCUUCUCCAAACCAUGGUAGCUCUCAGGCAAAUGAUGCCCUGUCCUCUGAGGAGAAGCUGAGGCGCAUGUCCUCUGACGACGCUGCGACUGGCCCGUCUGACGACGCUACCUCUGAAGCUGCGACUGGCCCGUCUGACGACGCUACCUCUGAAGCUGCGACUGGCCCGUCUGACGACGCUACCUCUGAAGCUGCGACUGGCCCGUCUGACGACGCUACCUCUGAAGCUGCGACUGGCCCGUCUGACGACGCUACCUCUGAAGCUGCGACUGGCCCGUCUGACGACGCUACCUCUGAAGCUGCGACUGGCCCGUCUGACGACGCUACCUCUGAAGCUGCGACUGGCCCGUCUGACGACGCUACCUCUGAAGCUGCGACUGGCCCGUCUGACGACGCUACCUCUGAAGCUGCGACUGGCCCGUCUGACGACGCUACCUCUGAAGCUGCGACUGGCCCGUCUGACGACGCUACCUCUGAAGCUGCGACUGGCCCGUCUGACGCACGCUACCUCUGAAGCUGCGACUGGCCCGUCUGACGACGCUACCUCUGAAGCUGCGACUGGCCCGUCUGACGACGCUACCUCUGAAGCUGCGACUGGCCCGUCUGACGACGCUACCUCUGAAGCUGCGACUGGCCCGUCUGACGACGCUACCUCUGAAGCUGCGACUGGCCCGUCUGACGACGCUACCUCUGAAGCUGCGACUGGCCCGUCUGACGACGCUACCUCUGAAGCUGCGACUGGCCCGUCUGACGACGCUACCUCUGAAGCUGCGACUGGCCCGUCUGACGACGCUACCUCUGAAGCUGCGACUGGCCCGUCUGACGACGCUACCUCUGAAGCUGCGACUGGCCCGUCUGACGACGCUACCUCUGAAGCUGCGACUGGCCCGUCUGACGACGCUACCUCUAAGGAACUGUUCACCGCUUCAUCGGAGCCCCCGUUGACCACAAACAUGGAUAUCUGACGUGGGACAUGGUGCUCGGGGUCCAUGCAAGAGUUCAUGGGUACUCUAGUCCAGGUUGUCUGUGUGUGUAACUGCAUUUGCUUGUUUUGGCUCAAUUAAACAUUAACUGUAA
This is a non-coding RNA of Salmo salar (Atlantic salmon), 1364 nucleotides long. Lineage: Eukaryota; Metazoa; Chordata; Actinopteri; Salmoniformes; Salmonidae. The record is from RefSeq and is a predicted model, not a curated record.